CCUACGGGAGGCAGCAGUGGGGAAUAUUGCACAAUGGGCGAAACCCUGAUGCAGCCACGCCGCGUGAGUGAAGAAGGAUUUCUGUUUGUAAAGCUCUUUCAGCAGGGAAGAAAAUGUCAGUACUUGUCCAUUUAGCCCCGGCCAACUCCGUCCCAGCAGCCGCGGGAAUACGCAGGGGGCAAGCGUUAUCCGGAUUUACUGGGUGUAACGGGAGCGUAGACGGUUAUGUAAGUCAGACGUGAAAGCCCGGGGCGCAACCCGAGAACUGCUUUGGAAACUGUGAAACUUGAGUAUAGGAGAGGGAGGUGGAAUUCCUGGUGUAGCGGUGAAAUGCGUAGAGAUCAGGAGGAACACCGGCGGCGAAGGCGGCCUGCUGGACUAAAACUGACGUUGAGGCGCGAAAGCGUGGGGAGCAAACAGGAUUAGAUACCCUAGUAGUC
This 440-nucleotide ribosomal RNA is filed under the name uncultured bacterium. RNAcentral's name for it is "partial 16S ribosomal RNA". It matches the Rfam family "Bacterial small subunit ribosomal RNA", at positions 338 to 795 of the family's 1533-position model. The record is from RNAcentral.